GGUCUCCAUUGCCAUCACCGAUAUUUCUGCAUCUGAGGUAAUGGAAUAAUUCUUUUAGAGUUGAUUGAGAUUUUUGGUUGAUUCGAAAUUCCUGGUGAUUUGAUAAUGUGUUUGUGUGUUACUGGUUAACGCAACUGAAGAUGAUGUUUGAUUCAUGGUAGAUAUCUUGCAUAAUUUAACAAAUUAUAAUUUAAUUUAACAAUUUGUGAAUUUGCCAUUUGGAAAACUCGAAUUUGCCAAUUCGGCUAAAGAAGAUGUGUUAUUAGUUGACAAUUUGCCAUUUGGGAAACUCGAGCUGCACCGAGUGUUGAGUGUUUUUUUUUUUAUUACAUGAGACUAUUGCUCAUAUUACAACUCAUACUACAUGAGACUAUAACUGAUAUUUACAAAUCAGACAAUUACUGGGACCAACUUACAUCAAUGCUAAUGGAGCUCUGUCCAGAUUUUAACCCUCACAAAUAUUCGAGGGAUGUCUACUCCUCACUAAUGGGUAAGGGAAAAGACUACAUUUACUUAAAUUAAUUGAGAAAGAAAAUACCUCCACAAUAUUUUUGUGGGAGUUCGAACUGCUGCCCUCCAACUUGGAGGGCAGCAGCCCUGGCCACUCGGGCUGAG
This 615-nucleotide long non-coding RNA is filed under the name Citrus sinensis (sweet orange). RNAcentral describes it as "long non-coding RNA (CSIN_LNC000385)". The record is from RNAcentral. Lineage: Eukaryota; Viridiplantae; Streptophyta; Magnoliopsida; Sapindales; Rutaceae.